Selaginella moellendorffii is the source of this 2150-nucleotide RNA transcript. It is a transcript of the gene named putative pentatricopeptide repeat-containing protein At3g47840, with no coding region annotated. The record is from RefSeq and is a predicted model, not a curated record. The transcript has 2 exons. NCBI's taxonomy places the organism in Eukaryota, Viridiplantae, Streptophyta, Lycopodiopsida, Selaginellales, Selaginellaceae.
UGUUCUUCCGAAAAGACUUGUGAUGGGCGAUGUUCUUCGUGGUCCGGUGGUGGUCACUCCCGCUCCUUUGGCAAGAAUCCAGAAGACCGGACAGCAGCAACAGCUCAAGGGAUUGUUUGAUCGGUUGGAGCAAAUUGCCAGUGAAAGCAGCAGUUUGACGAGACUGGUGGAUGCUUUGGACCCGGAUAAUCUACCAUCUCAUCCGGGUCCAUAUGCUCGAGCUCUCCAGGCAUGUGGGAACGCAAACGCUCUGGUCGAAGGGAGGAAAGUUCAUGGUUUCGCAGUUCAGGCAGGUCUCCAAGAGAACCUCAUCUUGGGGAACCACAUCGUGCGAAUGUAUGGGCGGUGUGGAAGUUUGGAAGAAGCAAGUCGGGCUUUUGCAGCUAUGCCGCAGCACAACUCGGUGUCUUGGAACGCUCUCAUCUCAGCUUAUGCCCAAGCCGGGCGUAUGCACUCGAGGUACUGUCUCCGGCUCUUUUGGAGGAUGCAGCAGGAGGGCGCCAAAGUUGACAGGAUCACGUUCAUCGUAGUUUUGGGAGUUUUAAGUGGCUCUCACGAACUUUCGGAAGGGAAGAAGAUCCAUUCAUGCAUACGGGAGUUUGGCAUCGAGUCGGACACUUUCGUGGCAACGGCUUUAGUGACCAUGUACAGCAAGUGCCACUGUCCGUGGAGUGCCCGGCAAAUGUUUGACGCGAUGAGUCCCCGGAGUACAGUGUCCUGGACUGCGAUGGUUACCGCCUAUUCUCAACACGGGCAUAACAGGGAAGCCAUGGAGAUCUUUCACUCCAUGCAACAGGAGGGAGUCCGAAGUGAUAGCGUGACUUACGUUGCCACCCUCACCGCGUGUGAUGAUCUCAGGGCCGGGGACGCGAUUCACUCGUGCCUUGUUGAAGCCGGGUUUGAAAACGAGCUUCAGGUUGGGAAUGCGCUAGUCAACAUGUACGCAAAGUGUGGAAGGUUGGACAAGGCCAGGGAGGUUUUCAGCAGGAUGCAACACAGGAAUGUGGUCAGCUGGACUGUGAUAAUCACUGGUUACUCUCAGCAUGGACAAGACGUUGAGGCGCUGAAGCUGUUUCUGAGGAUGCAACUGGAAGGCGUGAGGGCUGACUUCGUGACACUUCUCUGCAUGCUGGAAGUUUGCGGGAACACGAGCUCGCUGGCCGAGGGGAGGAUGGUUCAUGCUUGCAGCGCCGAGACUGGUGCUGCGUUGCAGAGCUCGUUUGGAAACGCCAUCGUGAGCAUGUAUGGGAAGUGUGGAAGCUUUCAAGACGCGCAACGAGUGUUUGACAGCCUCGACCACCAGGACUCCAUCUCGUGGACCGCGCUAAUCAAUGCCUAUGCGCAACACGGGGACAGCAGUAUGGCCGUGGACCUAUUCAGGAAGAUGAAACAAGCUGGUGUGGAUCCCGACGAAGUCACCUACGUCAGUGUUCUCUGGGCUUGCAGCCAUGCGGGGCUCUUGGCCGAUGGGUGUGAGAACUUUUACGCGAUGCUCGUGGACGACGAGCUGGUUCCCGGGUUGGAGCACUGUGGCUGUGUGGUCGGGCUGCUAGGACGUGCUGGAUGGUUGAGGGAGGCAGAAAACUUUCUCAGGAGCAUGGACAGUGAUCGGGGAUUGUGGGUUGCUCUGCUGGGAGCUUGCAGCGUUCACGGAGACGUCGAGUGUGGCAAGCGUGCAGCUGAACGGUUGCUGGAGCUGGAUCCAAACGACUGCUCGGGUUACGUAGUUUUGUCCAACAUGAUCCAUUCGGCAGGCGAUGAGGAGGAGGACAAUGAGGUUCGUUUUGUUGCUCCUCCGUUAUAGAAUUUCUUGUUUCUCAUCGAUGGACGUGCUUUAUAAUUCAGGCUUGACCAGACAAAAGCGAUUGCUAUUUUGUAGUGAGGUUGAUCAGCUCAAAGCGUUGAUUAUUUAAUGAUCAUUCGGAAUUUGUUGACGCGGACAAAAAGACAGGACGAGCUCCAAAAAUUGAUAAAGUUGAAUUCUUCGAGAAACAUAUGGGAAUCGCAUAUACGCCAGCCAAAGGUGGUGCAGUUAGUGCAGCGUGGUAGUUGUCUUCUUAAAUGCUACCUGACACGUUUCCAUUCAAUUCCCGCAGUGGCAAGCGAUUAAACACCAAGUUUUACUCUGCAACAAGAACACAGUUUCAGGA